Molecule: ribosomal RNA, 463 nt
Filed under: uncultured bacterium
Lineage: Bacteria
Description: partial 16S ribosomal RNA
Rfam family: Bacterial small subunit ribosomal RNA
Source: RNAcentral
GAUGAAUGCUGACAGAAUGCUUAACACAUGCAAGUCGAUGGGGAAGUGGUGCUUGCACCAUGGCAACCAUGGCGGACGGGUGAGUAACGCGUAAGGGACUUACCUGCAGGACUGGGAUAACAGGGGGAAACUCCUGACAAGACCGGAUAAUGUCAUGGAGCUGCAUGGCUUUAUGAUGAAAGGAGACGCCUGCGGAGAGCCUUGCGUCCUAUUAGCUAGUUGGUGAGGUAAUGGCUCACCAAGGCGAAGAUAGGUAGCCGGCCUGAGAGGGUGGACGGCCACAAGGGGACUGAGAUACGGCCCUUACUCCUACGGGAGGAGGCAGUGGGGAAUAUUGGACAAUGGGGGCAACCCUGAUCCAGCAAUUCUGUGUGCACGAAGAAGGUUUUCGGAUUGUAAAGUGCUUUCAGCAGGGAAGAAGUAAGUGACGGUACCUGCAGAAGAAGCGACGGCUAAAUACGUG